GAUGGUGAAAACGGGCUGCAGCAGGAACCUCGGAGCCGUGAAGGGGUGAGCAGACCCUGGAGGAGCAAAUGAUGCAUAUCAGAAACUGCAGCUGUAGCAGUGUGUCGCAGCAGGCAGGCAAUUUAGGGGUUGUGGUGUAGUAAAUAAGCCAGAGCAGUGGCGGGGCUGGGCAGUGGCAGCCUGGCUCCUAAACAGGGCCUCGAGAGGCUCCCUUGGGGGGGCACAGGGUCCCAGGUUUUCCUCUGAGGCACACGAGGGGAUGGUGAGGGUCCUUUCUAGUGAGGCAGGGCGUUAAUAAGGUCCCAGUGCAACAGCUGAUACUGCAAGCAGAGCUUCACUCACAGUAGGAGAAGGCAGCAGAAAACAGAACCUCACAAUGGUGGCAAGUUCUCCCCACAGCAACUGUAGCCUGUCUGCCCUCCAGUGUCAAGAACCAGAGCGGGAGAGGACCUGAGCCCAGCCCCUUACCCCUGCCCUGGCCAAAAUCUGACAUAUCCAAGGAGAAAAGCCCCCAGCAACAGAUGGGACAAAAUUCCACGAGAGAAGCAAGAGGAAAAAUUCCAGCCCCCAACACUGGGGCUGGAAGUCCAUUCAGAAACCAGUUUCUGCCCAGAUCUCUCUUGUAGGCUGCACCCCUGAAGUCCCUGGCCCAGGUAGCUCUGAGUCUCAAGGGAAACAGACACGGUUGAAAGAGCUGAGGCCCAGAGCAGGGCACUCCUCGUGAAGCCCUUCAAACACAG
Molecule: long non-coding RNA, 740 nt
Organism: Parus major (Great Tit)
Lineage: Eukaryota; Metazoa; Chordata; Aves; Passeriformes; Paridae
Exons: 3
Source: RefSeq, a predicted model, not a curated record